This 274-nucleotide ribosomal RNA is filed under the name uncultured bacterium. RNAcentral describes it as "partial 16S ribosomal RNA". The record is from RNAcentral.
CUGCUGCCUCCCGUAGGAGUCUGGUCCGUGUCUCAGUACCAGUGUGGGGGACCUUCCUCUCAGAACCCCUACGCAUCGUCGCCUUGGUGGGCCGUUACCCCGCCAACUAGCUAAUGCGACGCAUGACCAUCCGUAGCCGGAAUCGCUUCCUUUAAACCCGAGGAGAUGCCUCCUCGGGUUGUUACGCGGUAUUAGACGGAAUUUCUUCCGCUUAUCCCCCUGCUACGGGCAGGUUUCAUACGUGUUACUCACCCGUGCGCCGGUCGCCGGCGGG